Molecule: RNA transcript, 4120 nt
Organism: Toxorhynchites rutilus septentrionalis
Lineage: Eukaryota; Metazoa; Arthropoda; Insecta; Diptera; Culicidae
Gene name: RNA-binding protein 25
Exons: 8
Source: RefSeq, a predicted model, not a curated record
AGAAGCGCUGCGUGUCUGUCAAAAGGGGAAGGGUGAUCGCGUUUCAUCGGAAGAACGGAAGGAAAUUUCGCCGUGAAUAUAUAUUUUUUUUCGAUACUACCGCAUCGAAAAUAGUGGAAUCCUCCUCUUAAAGAACCAGUGCAUUAAUUUCAUAGUUUUCCGCUUGAUAGGUUGAAUUGAAAGUGGGUAAUAGAGGUUAUUUUUACCGAUUUUCCUACGGGUAGCGAAAAAAAAGUUUCAGUGGAUAACAGCGCGCGUGUGUGCGUGAGAAGUCUGCGUCGUCGUUCGAAGAAGCAACAGCAAUAGUUCGAAAGCUACAAACUGUCAAAUGUUUGCCAGUUCCACGUUCGCUUGGUAGGAAUCUUCCCCCGGUUUAUUGGUUGCCGAUAGCAUCCGGAGGAUUUGUUUUCAAACAAAGCAAAAACUCGGUCAACGGAUUACUCUGAUUAAGUUCUUCUAUCAUUUACUUCGGCCGAUUGCAGCUUUGUGGGCAGGUUUCGGUGUUGAUUAUAACCUCUUGGAAACGACACAGUAAAUAGUGUCAGGGGAGAGUUUCUCUGUUUCCGAACCUAUGUCAUACCCGACGAGACCACCACCGGCGAUUGUGCCGGCCGGAAUUCCGUUUGGAAUGGCUCCCCCCAUGAUGCCUCCCAUAAUCCCAGCCGGAAUGCCACCUUUGAGUCAACCCCCGCCGGGUGCACGAGCUGGAUUUCGCGGACCACCACCCACGAUUGGUUCCCGUCCGGUGGCGUACAAUAAUGUGAACAACUAUCAGGACAAACAUCGCGACCGUGGUGGAGGCGUGCAAGUUCCAAAUCCGGCACCCACUUUCGAUGGACCAGUGAUUACGGUUUUCAUUGGCAACAUCAGCGAUAAGGCGCCUGAUCCGAUGAUCAAAAAGAUACUCGCGUCGUGUGGAACGGUUAUCAACUGGAAACGAGUGUCGACAUUCGGAUUCUGUGAAUACGACGGUGCUGUAGCUGGGGCUCGCGCUGUGCGUCUUCUACAUGAUUUGGAGAUUGACGGUAAGAAGCUUGUGGCAAAGGUGGACGCCAAGAAUAAAGCCCUUUUAGAUAAUUACGAGAAGGAAGAGCAAGGUGGGAGCGAUGUAUCUGAGCGAAAGGGUGACGACGAAUCGUUGGAUUUAAUCUCGAGAAUUCUCGAUGAGUUUAAGGACGAUUUGAUGGGUCCCGACCAACAGGAAGAGGGAAGCACUGCCACGGGGAAGCAAAAGAAACAACUCCAGCAGGCUGAUAUGGAGGAGGGAAAGAGAGAAUUAAUAAGUAAGGAAAUUGGCAAAUUUCGUAAAUACACCGAAGAGGAGGAAUUGAAGAAGGAGAAGGAAAAGGAGCGGAGGAAGGCACGUGAUGAGAAAAAGUCUGACGGCGAUAAGAGGAGGUCCGUCUCGCCGCGGAAAGAGAAGGAAAAGAAAUCGAGAAGGCGGAGUCGAUCGCGUUCGCGCGAUCGUGAACGAGAACGCGAAAGGGAACGUGAGCGCGAGCGGGAACGGGAAAUGGCUAGGGAGCGGGAGCGAGAGCGCGAGAAUCGCGAACGAAUAGAACGGGAAAAUCGCGAAGCAAGGGAGCGGGAGAGGGAAAGGGAACGUGAGCGGGAUCGGGAACGCGAGCGCGAGUUACUAAAUCGUAAUCCACGGGACAUUCAGAAGGAGAAGGAAAUGGAGGAGGAAGCGAGGGACCGAAGAAAAGCAGAGAAGAAGGCUAAGGAGAAGGAAGCUGCUUAUCAGGAGAGAUUGAGAAAUUGGGAGGCACGCGAAAGACGGAAGGCCAAGGAAUAUGAGAAGGAACGCGAAAAGGACCGUUGUAAAGAAGAGGAACGCGAGAAGGAAGCCAAGCGACUGAAGGAAUUCUUGGAGGACUAUGAUGACGAGCGAGAUGAUCCAAAAUAUUACAAGGGGCGCGAACUGCAGCGUCGGCUGGCGGAACGUGUCCGUGAGGCCGAUCUUGAUUCAAAGGAUCGCAACAAAGAACAGGAAGAAUUGGACGAACUGAAAAAUAAGAUUUUCUCCGGCGAAUAUGAUAACCCCACAUUAGAGUUUGAAAAGUUGAAGAAACAACGCGAAGACAUGUACCGGCCCAAGAUUCUGAUCGACGUCAACCUGGAGCAAUCACAACAGCGUGAGCGAGAGCUGGAACGCGAGCGGCUGCGUGAAAUUGAGCGACAGCGAGAUAAAGAGCGCCUUAAGGCCAACAAGGAGCGAUAUGUGCUGGCCCAAGCAUCCCGCGAAUUGGCUGCUAUCGAUGCAGAGCCCAUCGAGUCCGACUCGAGUGGUCACGAUGAUAAUAACAUUGGGUCGCCUGUUUCGGCGGUUACCAAUAAUCAUCACUCCCAGGGUCAUCAUCAGACGGGACAGGUUCAUCCACAGCAUGCUGGAUCAGAAACGCGAGAUUCGUUCGGAUUCGGUUCUGUACCUGCGACGGUGAUUGGUGCUGGUGAGGAUGAGAAUUCUCACCAGUCGAUGCGGUCAAAUUCAAACAUGAUUAUGCAUAGUCCCGAGGCAAACAGCAGCAGUGAGUUCAAUUCCAUACCGGAGAAGCACCAACCAAUCGCACCCACAAUCAGUCUCAGCUUGAACGCUAACGCCAAGAAGAAAAAGCUGGAAAUGAAGGAUGUCUUCAAUAGCUUGGAUGAUGAUGGCGAGGAAUCUAACGGACCCAAAAAACGAAAACUAAUUCCGUUGGAUGACGAUCAUAAGACGCAAAUUGGUGCAUCGACGGAAACCAAACCUGCUCCUUCGCAACACUCAGGCUCUAAGAGCUCUUCAAAGUCCAGCAAGGGUGGUGAAGACGCAUCAAGCACUAGUCGGUCAAGUAGAGAUGCCAUAAAAUCGCAAGAGGAGAAAAGACGACAUAUAAAAAGUAUUAUUGAUAAGAUUCCAACGGAGAAAAUCGAUCUGUUCAAUUAUCCGCUCGAUUGGAACGAAAUCGAUAGUACAAUUGAGAAGAAAAUCCGACCGUGGAUCAACAAGAAGAUUAUUGAGUACAUUGGUGAGCCGGAACCUACGCUGGUUGACUUUAUAUGUUCGAAAGUGUUGGCUGGAAGUACUCCGCAGGGGAUUCUUGAUGAUGUCCAGAUGGUUUUAGAUGAGGAGGCCGAAGUGUUUGUCGUGAAGAUGUGGCGUUUGCUAAUUUACGAGGUCGAAGCCAAGAAGGUCGGGCUAACAAAAUAGAUCUAAAUCAUCAGCGGUUGGAAAGCAGGUAUAGCCCCACUAUUGGUUGGUUGAGAGAUGUUGUAGCACUGUAAGAGAGGGGGCACCUUUAUGAACACUAAAUUGCUUGCCACCAUCUCGCGUGGUUGAUUGUAUAGAGGAUCCCCUCCACCAUCUUUCCUUUUGUAUUGCUCCCGCUGAUUUGUAUCUAAAUUGUGCUGAACAGACUCUCAAUUUUCUCUUAAUUCUAAUAAGGUAUUUUGCGAUAUAAAAUAUGAUUCAUCUAUAGAAUAGAAAUGACAAAUAUAGAGCAAACUACAAGUUACUGGUUGACAGUAACGGUGUUCACCACCCGAAAAGGAAAGAAAACAGUUUUAUCGUUCAAGCUUCGCGGUGUAACAAAUAUGUAUCCCAGAAUAGUUAGUGUAUGCGUGUGCGUGGCUCUAUAAAACCAUCUAAAUGUGUUAAGUAGCACCGUUAGAUUUACCAUUGAAAUUUCACAUACAGGCAUCAUUUAAACAUAUGAACGCAUUCUGCUGCAUCCGGAAGACGAGUUCACAGUGGGAAUCGUUCGACCAUCGAUCGCUGACAGACAUAACAGACAUGGUUCAGAAUAAUAUCAUGGCUCCCAUCGGUCGGUGCGUACCCCCGUGCCGAUAGUGUGGACACUUUGCCGUGCAUUGCGCGACUCCAUCAAAAUUCCCGUCCUCCAUUUUGGUUCUUCUGAAUUGGUGUUGCACUGAUUGGUUCCGCGAAGCGUGAGUAAACAAAUUAUUUAUUAAUACGCCCAAACAAGAUUGUUAUUCAACAAAAAAAUUACAUUAGGUAAGAUACAGCAGGUAUACGGCGGACCAUGUGUGAAUCGUGAAUUUUCGAAUGUGGUUUAUUAAUUGAGGGUUUUUCAAAAUUUGUGCAGGACAUCAUCGGGAGCAGAUUACGGACUGACGAAAGGAU